UACGUAAGUGGCAAGCGUUAUCCGGAUUUAUUGGGCGUAAAGAGAACGCAGGCGGUCUUUUAAGUCUGAUGUGAAAGCCUUCGGCUUAACCGGAGUAGUGCAUUGGAAACUGGGAGACUUGAGUGCAGAAGAGGAGAGUGGAACUCCAUGUGUAGCGGUGAAAUGCGUAGAUAUAUGGAAGAACACCAGUGGCGAAAGCGGCUCUCUGGUCUGUAACUGACGCUGAGGUUCGAAAGCGUGGGUAGCAAACAGG
Molecule: ribosomal RNA, 253 nt
Filed under: uncultured bacterium
Lineage: Bacteria
Description: partial 16S ribosomal RNA
Rfam family: Bacterial small subunit ribosomal RNA
Source: RNAcentral